AGGGCCGCGGUAAUUUGACCGUGCGAAGGUAGCAUAAUCAUUAGUCUUUUAAUUGUAGGCUGGAAUGAAUGGUUGGACAAAGGAUGUUCUGUCUUAACUAUAAUAAUUUAAUUUUACUUUUAAGUGAAAAGGCUUAAAUGAAGUAAAGGGACGAUAAGACCCUAUAAAACUUUACAUGUGUUUAAAUAUUUUUUAAGUUUUGAAUAAAAUUAAAUAUAUAAAGCAUGUUUUGUUGGGGAGACAAAGAUAUAAUAAAUUAGCUGUUUUUAGAAUUAAUAAUAAUAUUUAGAUAUUUGAUCCUUAAUAGAGAUUAAAAGAACAAGUUACUUUAGGGAUAACAGCGUGAUUUUCUUUGAGAGUUCUUAUCGAUAAGAUUAGUUGCGACCUCGAUGUUGAAUUAAAAUUUCUUUUAUGUGCAGUAGCC
Molecule: ribosomal RNA, 424 nt
Filed under: Chlorotocella gracilis
Lineage: Eukaryota; Metazoa; Arthropoda; Malacostraca; Decapoda; Pandalidae
Description: partial 16S ribosomal RNA
Rfam family: Archaeal large subunit ribosomal RNA
Source: RNAcentral